Vicia faba (fava bean) is the source of this 183-nucleotide non-coding RNA. The record is from the annotation of a GenBank genome assembly. Lineage: Eukaryota; Viridiplantae; Streptophyta; Magnoliopsida; Fabales; Fabaceae.
AUGUGCUUAAAUUUUGUUUGUUUUAUUUAUAGAUUAAAGAAGUCCAGUCUUGCACGUUCUAACACUUGGGUUUUUUUUAUAAUAGGUGAAUCUGAUGCCAAAUCAAUAUCGGCUAUACAUCAAAGAUUUGAAACCAAAUGUUAUUUAUCCUUUUUGAAUCAAAUUAUUUGUAUAACUUACUAA